Molecule: ribosomal RNA, 424 nt
Filed under: uncultured Pseudomonas sp.
Lineage: Bacteria; Pseudomonadati; Pseudomonadota; Gammaproteobacteria; Pseudomonadales; Pseudomonadaceae
Description: bacterial SSU rRNA
Rfam family: Bacterial small subunit ribosomal RNA
Source: RNAcentral
GGAAUAUUGGACAAUGGGCGAAAGCCUGAUCCAGCCAUGCCGCGUGUGUGAAGAAGGUCUUCGGAUUGUAAAGCACUUUAAGUUGGGAGGAAGGGCAGUAAGUUAAUACCUUGCUGUUUUGACGUUACCAACAGAAUAAGCACCGGCUAACUUCGUGCCAGCAGCCGCGGUAAUACGAAGGGUGCAAGCGUUAAUCGGAAUUACUGGGCGUAAAGCGCGCGUAGGUGGUUCAGCAAGUUGGAUGUGAAAUCCCCGGGCUCAACCUGGGAACUGCAUCCAAAACUACUGAGCUAGAGUACGGUAGAGGGUGGUGGAAUUUCCUGUGUAGCGGUGAAAUGCGUAGAUAUAGGAAGGAACACCAGUGGCGAAGGCGACCACCUGGACUGAUACUGACACUGAGGUGCGAAAGCGUGGGGAGCAAACA